The sequence is a regulatory RNA element, 121 nucleotides long. It matches the Rfam family "Ribosomal protein L10 leader". From Rfam's summary of the family: This family is a putative r-protein leader autoregulatory structure found in B. subtilis and other low-GC Gram-positive bacteria. It is located in the 5' untranslated regions of mRNAs encoding ribosomal proteins L10 and L12 (rplJ-rplL). A Rho-independent transcription terminator structure that is probably involved in regulation is included at the 3' end. The record is from Rfam.
CUUGUGUUAAAAACUCUACCUAAGACUCAGGGGGCUUUGCCUUAAUUUUCCUGCCGAGGUGGUAUCGAACGAUUCAUGAUACCUCUAUGUCUUGGUGGACAUGGAGUUUUUUUAUAUAAAA